GUGGGUAUAGCUCAGUGGUAGAGCACAUGCUUAGCAAGCACAAGGUCUUGGGUUCAAUCCCCAGUACCUCCA
Molecule: transfer RNA, 72 nt
Filed under: Camelus bactrianus (Bactrian camel)
Lineage: Eukaryota; Metazoa; Chordata; Mammalia; Artiodactyla; Camelidae
Also listed under: 2 other names
Rfam family: tRNA
About the family: Transfer RNA (tRNA) molecules are approximately 80 nucleotides in length. Their secondary structure includes four short double-helical elements and three loops (D, anti-codon, and T loops). Further hydrogen bonds mediate the characteristic L-shaped molecular structure. tRNAs have two regions of fundamental functional importance: the anti-codon, which is responsible for specific mRNA codon recognition, and the 3' end, to which the tRNAs corresponding amino acid is attached (by aminoacyl-tRNA synthetases). tRNAs cope with the degeneracy of the genetic code in two manners: having more than one tRNA (with a specific anti-codon) for a particular amino acid; and 'wobble' base-pairing, i.e. permitting non-standard base-pairing at the 3rd anti-codon position.
Source: Rfam by way of RNAcentral